RNAcentral lists this small RNA (128 nucleotides) under Salmonella enterica subsp. enterica serovar Heidelberg. RNAcentral's name for it is "RtT sRNA". It matches the Rfam family "RtT RNA". From Rfam's summary of the family: This family represents a bacterial cis-regulatory element known as RtT RNA. The exact function of RtT is unknown although it is thought that it may be involved in changing the cellular response in relation to amino acid starvation. The record is from RNAcentral. RNAcentral also lists the same sequence under 7 other names. Lineage: Bacteria; Pseudomonadati; Pseudomonadota; Gammaproteobacteria; Enterobacterales; Enterobacteriaceae.
UCUCUCUGUACGGGAAGGAUGAGAAGCUUCGACCAAGGUUCGAUUCGAGCGCAGCGAGAAAGCGUUGCCGCAGGCAACGACCCGAAGGGCGAAGCGCGCAGCGCUGAGUCAUCCUUCCCCCACCACCA